AUAUCAAUAACGCGCAGCCCAAACAAAAUAACUUAACAUUAAUCUUAACUUAAAACCCAACAAUAAAUAUACUUUAAAUCAAUCCAAAUGAAAUACUAAUAAAUACCACAUUCAAAUAAUGGAGACGCAGCUCCUCGAAACUAAGAGUUUUAUCAAAAUUCAUCAACAAAAGAAUAACAUCUAAAACUAAACUCCAGCUAUUCCAAGCGUAUCAAAUAAGUGCUCAGCUUUCAACGAUGGGACCUGUAAAAAUCUGUAAGGGGGUGAGCGAUGAAGCCCAGCAAGUAGCAAUCCUCUCUAUCUAGCCGAAUCAAGUACAAUUUGCAAAAUACUUUUUCGAAAUAACUUUUUGUUCAAUAACAAUAGUACAAAAGCUUUCAAAACUAAAACAAUUCAAAAAUGAUUUCAAUGUAUAUCAUAAAUCUUUUAAUCCACAGCCUUAGCG
RNAcentral lists this long non-coding RNA (445 nucleotides) under Panax ginseng (ginseng). Its description in RNAcentral is "long non-coding RNA (PGIN_LNC000989)". Lineage: Eukaryota; Viridiplantae; Streptophyta; Magnoliopsida; Apiales; Araliaceae. The record is from RNAcentral.